AGUGAACGCUGGCGGUAGGCCUAACACAUGCAAGUCGAACGGCAGCACAGUAAGAGCUUGCUCUUACGGGUGGCGAGUGGCGGACGGGUGAGGAAUACAUCGGAAUCUACUUUUUCGUGGGGGAUAACGUAGGGAAACUUACGCUAAUACCGCAUACGACCUACGGGUGAAAGCAGGGGAUCUUCGGACCUUGCGCGAUUGAAUGAGCCGAUGUCGGAUUAGCUAGUUGGCGGGGUAAAGGCCCACCAAGGCGACGAUCCGUAGCUGGUCUGAGAGGAUGAUCAGCCAGACUGGAACUGAGACACGGUCCAGACUCCUACGGGAGGCAGCAGUGGGGAAUAUUGGACAAUGGGCGCAAGCCUGAUCCAGCCAUACCGCGUGGGUGAAGAAGGCCUUCGGGUUGUAAAGCCCUUUUGUUGGGAAAGAAAAGCAGCAGGUUAAUACCGCGCUGUUCUGACGGUACCCAAAGAAUAAGCACCGGCUAACUUCGUG
RNAcentral lists this ribosomal RNA (492 nucleotides) under uncultured bacterium. RNAcentral describes it as "partial 16S ribosomal RNA". It matches the Rfam family "Bacterial small subunit ribosomal RNA", at positions 29 to 507 of the family's 1533-position model. The record is from RNAcentral.